AGAGUUUGAUCAUGGCUCAGGAUGAACGCUGGCGGCGUGCUUAACACAUGCAAGUCGAACGGGGGCGUGAUGUGCGAGAGGGAUAGUUUACUAGACUUCAAACUUUUCACGCCCUAGUGGCGGACGGGUGAGUAACGCGUGGGUAACCUGCCAUAUACAGGGGGAUAACACUUAGAAAUAGGUGCUAAUACCGCAUAAGCGCACAGGGGCGCAUGCCCCGGUGCGAAAAACUCCGGUGGUAUAUGAUGGACCCGCGUCUGAUUAGCCAGUUGGCAGGGUAACGGCCUACCAAAGCGACGAUCAGUAGCCGGCCUGAGAGGGCGGACGGCCACAUUGGGACUGAGACACGGCCCAAACUCCUACGGGAGGCAGCAGUGGGGGAUAUUGCACAAUGGGGGAAACCCUGAUGCAGCGACGCCGCGUGAGUGAAGAAGUAUUUCGGUAUGUAAAGCUCUAUCAGCAGGGAAGAAAAUGACAGUACCUGACCAAGAAGCCCCGGCUAACUACGUGCCAGCAGCCGCGGUAAUACGUAGGGGGCAAGCGUUAUCCGGAUUUACUGGGUGUAAAGGGAGCGUAGACGGUUAUGUAAGUCUGGAGUGAAAGCCCGGGGCCCAACCCCGGGACUGCUUUGGAAACUGUGUAACUGGAGUACAGGAGGGGCAGGCGGAAUUCCUGG
RNAcentral lists this ribosomal RNA (676 nucleotides) under uncultured bacterium. Its description in RNAcentral is "bacterial SSU rRNA". It matches the Rfam family "Bacterial small subunit ribosomal RNA", at positions 8 to 673 of the family's 1533-position model. The record is from RNAcentral.